RNAcentral lists this long non-coding RNA (288 nucleotides) under Dromaius novaehollandiae (emu). Its description in RNAcentral is "lncRNA (ENSDNVG00000008324.1)". The record is from RNAcentral. Lineage: Eukaryota; Metazoa; Chordata; Aves; Casuariiformes; Dromaiidae.
UCUGCCGCCAAGCAGGAUGCGCAGCGCCGGGCACCGGCAGCCGCUCCGGCAAAGUGCGUAGCCCCGCAGCGCGGAGGGGUCGGGGCACCAGGUGGUGGAUGUGGACUUUAAAACAGUGUGUCUCAACAUUUCAUCCUCAACUAUCUGUUUUUAAUCUGAUUGCACUACAAAAGAAAAGCUGCUAAUGGGAUAAAUGUUGAGACGUUGCAAGAACUGACUUGAAGUACCAAAAGCCAUUACUAUAAAUCAAGAAGAGCUCGAAGCUAAGUCUGUAUCCGAUUAGUCAGU